RNAcentral lists this long non-coding RNA (1813 nucleotides) under Paramuricea clavata. The record is from RNAcentral. Lineage: Eukaryota; Metazoa; Cnidaria; Anthozoa; Malacalcyonacea; Plexauridae.
UGAAAAUGCACGUUGUGGUAGCUAAGAUAUUGAACUAUGCUCCUAUGAGCCAUUUUUUUGUAAUUCACCAUGGUUGCUAUGGUAACGGAUAAAACAGAUUGCGUAUACACUUUUCACUAUAAAUCCUGUUAGAAAAUAAAUAUCAAAAAAAUGGCUCAUAGUUGCAUUCUACAUACCUUAAACUACAUCUGUGCCAAAAAUGGGAAAUUUUCAUUAAAACAGUAACAAGAAAAGCUAGGGGGGCAGUUGACGUGCGGCCAAAUAUCACAUUUUGAGAAAUAGACAGUUAAAGUUUAAUUUCCGUUGGAACUUGUUGUUUGAGUGUUAUAAGAGUGUUUGAGGCUCUAUUCUUUUCUUGGCAGCUUGCUUUUGCCCUUUUUACCAUUACUUUUCAUUGUCGUCGUCUUUCUCUUAGUUGAACCACUCAAACAAUCCUUGUUAAAUGCCGCGCUCUCAUAUGUUACUCAUUUCCGUGCGUUCGAUCUUGCCUCUUCCGCCAAUUUUGCCUGUUGAAUUUUCUGUCUUGCUUCCUUGAACUUCAUCUGGGUCCUUGCAUUUGCUUGUUUUACUCUCUUGUCAUUCUUUCUCCCACUUCCAGUUUUUGUAUAAAAACCAGCAUACAUUUUCAGCUCUUUCAUUACAAUAUCAAGUCGACCAGCCGCGCCAAUGUUCAAUCUUUCUUCCAAGACUUUUCUUGUUGCUAGAUUCACCGAUUGAUUGUGUUUUUGGUAAGCACUAUCACUAUAAACUGGUCACUAUAAACUGGAGGGCCAAUGUUCAAAAUGUCACAAAUAGUUGAAAGAAUUUCCCAACCUAAGCCCAGCUCACCCAUAGGAAAAUUAGUUCUACAUCAAAAGAACAUGCCUUUCCCUCAACUGGCUUCUAUGUAUCCAUGUCAAUCCUCUGCACUCAAAAUAAUAAUAAACUAAGUACUGCUCAGUCCAGCACGUUUUGCAGCAUCUUCAGAAGUUAUAAUGUUUUCAUUUUUGCACUUAUGCAUGUUCUCAACUGUUUUCCUAAUGUUUUCAAUACAAACAAUCCGAUAUCCUUCUUGUCCCUGUGAAGUUUGCCUUGCAGUUUAUAAUAUCCCUUCAAUUUCAGGAGUAAAUUUGAGGUGAUUUUAAAUUAGCUUUCUCCAGUUUCUUUGCCGAUGUGACUUCUCAUCAGUUUUAUUCAAUAAAUCGUCAUCAUAUUAGUCUUCAUUUUACUCUUCUGAUCCAGAUCGGGUGUUAGAUUUGAGAGCCAUGAACUUUCCUUCAAAACAUCGCCAUCUUCGCAAAAAUCAGAGAAUCGUUUCCCUUUGAAACGGGCUUUUUCUUUGAUUUGUUUCUCACACGAAAGUUUGUUCCUUCUUUGGAACCUUUUGGCAUUAUUACAAACCAAAAAUGCAACAAAAUAUAGCGACAAAAUAGAAAAUUUAGCGGAAUAUAUUCUCAAAGCCUCAUGUAAAUGAGUAAAAUUAUGUAAAUAACAAAAUUAUGCAAUUGUAGCGUGUCCCUAUGUGCCUCUCAUAUCCAUAAUACACACCAUUGGCAUAGGUAGCCCUGUAUAAAUUUUUACAUUGAAAUCGCACAGUAAAACGACUUUUUUAGAGGAUUUUUGAAGCUCGUUUCCAUGGUAACCUGGUGUAAACAUUCAAUGAAAUCUCACAUCCUUUCUCUAAAGUCUAUUUUUUUCCGUAAAAAGUAUGGAAAUUUAAAUAAAGACUUCACUAGUUGAUAAAAUACAUGUUUAGGUAUCCUAUCAUGAUGUUUUAGAUAUUUUGACAUUUUCAUCCUAAUCGACUAAAUUUUGAGGUGAAGCUCCCCCUUAA